Molecule: ribosomal RNA, 428 nt
Filed under: uncultured cyanobacterium
Lineage: Bacteria; Bacillati; Cyanobacteriota
Description: bacterial SSU rRNA
Rfam family: Bacterial small subunit ribosomal RNA
Source: RNAcentral
GGGGAAUUUUCCGCAAUGGGCGAAAGCCUGACGGAGCAAUGCCGCGUGGAGGUAGAAGGCCCACGGGUCAUGAACUUCUUUUCCCGGAGAAGAAGCAAUGACGGUAUNUGGGGAAUAAGCAUCGGCUAACUCUGUGCCAGCAGCCGCGGUAAUANCAGAGGAUGCAAGCGUUAUCCGGAAUGAUUGGGCGUAAAGCGUCUGUAGGUGGCUUUUUAAGUCCGCCGUCAAAUCCCAGGGCUCAACCCUGGACAGGACGGUGGAAACUAUCCAAGCUGGAGUACGGUAGGGGCAGAGGGAAUUUCCGGUGGAGCGGUGAAAUGCGCAGAGAUCGGAAAGAGCACCAACGGCGAAAGCACUCUGCUGGGCCGACACGGACAUCUGAGAGACGAAAGCUAGGGGAGCGAAUGGGAUUAGAUACCCCAGUAGUC